Molecule: ribosomal RNA, 253 nt
Filed under: uncultured bacterium
Lineage: Bacteria
Description: partial 16S ribosomal RNA
Rfam family: Bacterial small subunit ribosomal RNA
Source: RNAcentral
UACGUAGGUGGCAAGCGUUGUCCGGAUUUACUGGGCGUAAAGAGCGCGCAGGCGGUCGUUCAAGUCGCGUGUGAAAGCCCCCGGCUCAACUGGGGAGGGUCACGCGAUACUGAUCGACUCGAAGGCAGGAGAGGGUAGUGGAAUUCCCGGUGUAGUGGUGAAAUGCGUAGAUAUCGGAAGGAACACCAGUGGCGAAGGCGGCUACCUGGACUAACACUGACACUGAGGCACGAAAGCGUGGGGAGCAAACAGG